This is a non-coding RNA of Pocillopora verrucosa, 659 nucleotides long. The record is from RefSeq and is a predicted model, not a curated record. NCBI's taxonomy places the organism in Eukaryota, Metazoa, Cnidaria, Anthozoa, Scleractinia, Pocilloporidae.
UGUUCCCCUUUAGUAGCACGUGUUGGGUCGAGUAUCGCCUCGCUUUGUUGGUGGUUGCGAAUUUCGCUUUCCUUGAGGACCUAUGCUUUGUCUGUUUAGUAGAACUGAAUUUUUCAAUGUUAAGAUUGCGAGAGUUUGGUGUUGAUGACGGUUACAGAAUGGUUCAGGAAAUACUGCACAAUCUGGAACUUUUUUUGCUGUCUAAACAAACUAAGAUUUAAAUCAACUUUACCUUGGAGACACCACCAAUCUCACAUUGUACUUUACUUGCAAUGAGGAUUUGGUCAACCAAGAUAACUGUCCUUGUGGGGUUGUUGCCUUGUGAUGCAGUACAAAGGUUUUUAUCAGAUCUGAAAAUGGUUAGGGGUGAUUGACAACAAAUUCCCAACAGAAGGAAAGCUGAAAUGUGCUGUGGUUCAAGAGGAAAGUCAGUAAGGUAGCUCUGAAAGUGAGGAUGAACAGAAUAUUUUAUCAGCAUGAAGGUGAAGGAAAUCCAUAUAAAGCAUAAGAGUAUUCACUCUUUUAGGGGCAGAAUGAAAUCCAGUUCUAGUCUUUGGAUAUUUUUCUUCAUGAUCCUUAUUCAAACUUAUUCAUUAUUGUCCACUCUUAGUGUUAGAAAAUUGUUUUGAGGUUAGAAAAUAAAGAAUAUUUCUGAAAGA